Long non-coding RNA from Lynx canadensis (Canada lynx), 315 nucleotides. RefSeq lists it as uncharacterized. The record is from RefSeq and is a predicted model, not a curated record. The transcript has 3 exons. NCBI's taxonomy places the organism in Eukaryota, Metazoa, Chordata, Mammalia, Carnivora, Felidae.
GAAAUCAGAAUCCAGAUGUCAACAGACUUGGUUCUUUCUAACGGCUGCGAGUGAGAGUUUGUUCCAUGACUCCUGCCCAGCUUCUGCCAAUUUGGCGACAGCCUUGGAAUUCGCUGGCAUGGAGAAGCAUCACCCCAGUUUCUGCCUUCAUCUUCACAUGAACCUGAGAAGUCCAAGAUCAAGGUGCUGCAGAUCUGGUGUUUGAGGAAAGUCAUCUUCCUGGUUUGCAGCCUCACAGUACAUAAAGGUAUUGAGAUCUGCAGCAAAGACUCAGUUUCACUUGAACUCAAUGUUUUCCAGCACAAUGGCAUGAAA